Molecule: long non-coding RNA, 8616 nt
Filed under: Sus scrofa (pig)
Lineage: Eukaryota; Metazoa; Chordata; Mammalia; Artiodactyla; Suidae
Description: lncRNA (ENSSSCG00005040280.1)
Source: RNAcentral
CUUCGGGUUGCUGGCGGUUACAAGGCCGCCCACACGGGUUGCCGCUUUAGACCUGAUUUCGGGACCAAGGGCGAGAGCGACCUCUCAGGCCUAGCCAAUUCGGUUCUGUGGUAUCAAAAACACCAAAGAUAAGAAACUCUUAUGUGCAGUUGUACGACUAUGAAAAGUGGGGACCACUGUCCACCUGCCCCUGUCCUGGAGUCCAAGGGCAUGGAGUCUAUCACUGGAGUCAGUACUUUCAGGCUUCAGCUGAGUUUGGCCGGUGGAGAGGCAGCACAGACAUGAAUCUGCAAGAUGGGAAAAGAGUGAGGUCAGUAUAUUAAUUCAUCUGGGUUUCUACCCGAAAGGUCACUUUGGACUAUCUGUUGGGCUGCUUCUUAGGAAGUCUCUACUCCUCCAAAAGUGACCUACUCUAUAUGACUCACUUUUAAAUGUUCUAACUUCUCCCUUCUUUGGGUCAAGGGAUUGUAAUAUAUUUAAAAGUACUAGAUUCAUUCAUUCCCUUCAGUUCCCUAUACCCUGACCCACACCCUUUUUUAUUCCUUUUAACUGAGGUAUAGUUGAUGUACAAUAAAAUAUCUCAGGUGUACAACAUAGUGACUCACAAUUUUUAAAGGUUAUAUUCCCUGUAUUAUGCAAUAUUAACUUGUAGCUUAUUUAUUUUAUGCAUAAUAGUUUGUACCUCUUAAUUCCCUGCCCCUUUCUUGUCCCUCCCUCUUCCCUCUCCCCAUUGGUAACCACUAGUUUGUUCUCUAUAUCUAUGUCUUAACUUUUUUUUGUUAUAUUUACUAGUUUUAUUUUUUAGAUUCCGCAUAUAAGUGAUAUCAUACAGUAUUUGUCUUUCUCUGUCUGACUUAUUUCACUUAGUAUAAUACUCCCCAAGUCCAUCCAUGUUGCUGCAAAUGGCAAAAUUUCAAUCUUUUUCUAUGGCUGAGAUAUAUAUAUAUAUAUAUAUAUAUAUAUAUAUAUAUAUAUAUAUUUAUAUCCAUUAUUGAUGGAUACUUAGGUUGCUUCCAUAUCUUGGCAUUUGUAAAUAAUGCUGCUAUGAACAUUGAGAUGUAUGUAUUUUUUUUUAAUUAGUGUUUUCAGGUUUUUUUGGAUAGAUUCCUGGAGCAGAAUUGCUAGGUCAUAUUUUCAGGUUUUUUUUUUUUUUUUUUUUAAACCUCCAUAAUGUUCUCUGCAGGUCCACACUCUUAAUUGGUCCCUUGGAGGUGGUGAUGGUGGACAUUAAAAGUACCUUAACUGGAGUUCCCAUCAUGGUGCCAGUGGUUAACAAACACAACUAGGAACUAUGAGGUUGCGGGUUUGAUCCCUGGUCUCACUCAGUGGGUUAAGGAUCUGGCAUUGCUGUGAACUUCCAUUUCCAGAUCGCAGAUGUGGCUCGAAUCCUGUGUUGCUGUGUCUCUGGCAUAGGCCAGUGGCUACAGCUCCGAUUAGACCCCUGGCCUGGGAACCUCCAUAUGCCAUGGGUAUGGCUCUAGAAAAGACCCCCCAAAAAAUAAAAUAAAAUACCUUAACUGGAGGAGUUCCCUCCAUGGCACAGUGGAUUAAGAAUCUGACUGCAGUGGCUUAGGUCCCUGCAGAGGUGUGGGUUCAAUCCCUGGCCUAGCACAGUGGGUUAAAGGAUCUGGUAUUGCUGCAGCUGCACUGUAGGUCACAGCUACAGCUUGGAUUCAAUCCCUGGCCCAGGAACUUCCAUAUGCCACUAGUGUGGCCAUAAAAAGAAAAAAAAAUGUACCUUAACUGGAGGUUUUCUGUUAUCAUCUCUAAUGCUAUUUUGAAAAGAACUAUAUGCUAAAAGAACAGAACUAAAUUUCCAUUGACUAAAACACACUUCACAUUGUGGUUUGUUACUUAAACUAGCCAUAUUUAGAAGGAUGUGCUCUUUCUUUUCAAUAGAAUCAAAGAUUUUUACUGUGGUAAUCUAUUUCAGUGAUCAUUCUCUUUAACAAAUGAGAAAAUGAUUUGGACGAGGACAUGUAAUCAAUGAGUAACAGUGUUAGAGUUUAAAUUUCCCAUGUGCUUCCUUUUUAGCCAAUUUUCUUUACACUUCAACUCUCCCUCUUUUAUUUCUCUGGAGGCUUCCCCAUUCACUUUGUCCAGAGAAUAAUCCUUGUCCUUCCUUCAGUGAGUGCCUUGGUUCUUUGGAAUACCUGAUGGUUCAAAUAGGAGUGGGAACCUGGAAUUCUCACUAAAGACUUGACAUUUAUCCCUGUUUUCAGUCACAUGCCUUACAGUCAUGCCUUCUGUAAUUGGUCUUUCUUAUUGCUCAACUUUUUUUUUUCUUUUUCCCAGAGUGUUUUUGGAUCGAUUCACCUCAGAUUUCUCCACUAUUAGGGGUCAAAUUUCCUGAUGACAGUGUCAACUUACAACUUCCAUUUCCACUUACAACUUGCUCUGCAAAACAAAAUUUAAAGGUUUAAAAUAACUACAGUCACUUUACUAUUUCUCAGUUUCUGUAGGACAGGAAUUCUGAAAUACUUUAGUUGGAAAACUUGAGUUCUGGCUCAGAAUCUAUCAUGCCAUUACAGUCAGAAUCAAUUAGAACUGGAAGAAUGGGAACUAGAGCAAUUAGGAGCUAGCUAGUCAUCUCUCCCUGAGAAGUCCCAGGACUUCUCUGUAUGGUCUGUCCCUCUGAUUUGGGUUGAGCUUUCUUACUGUAUUGGCUGCCUUAAAGCAGUCAAACUGCUGUGAUGGUAGUUUCAACCUCAACAGUGAAAAUUCCAGUGAGCAAAGUGUAAGCUGUAUCACUUUUUAUAGCCUAGUUUGAAAGUCACAUAAUGUCACUUCUACCAUAUUCUUUUGACCAAAACAUUCUCAAAAACCCACUCAGUUUCAUAGUGAAGGGGUAGAGAUGCUACCUCUCAAUGGGAGGAAUAUCAAAGCCACAUUGUAAGAGCAUAUGGAGUGGAAGAUUUUGUUGCAGCCAUUUUGGGGCGGUAGAAGUUGCAUCACAACUCCUACAUCUAAUUUCUUCACUUUUUUUGUAUGACCAAGGGUUUUUAAGUUAUGAAAUACAUCAUACAAAAAGGUAUAGAGAGUAAUAUAAUAGACACUUUUGUCUUCACCACCUUGCUUUAGAAAUAAAACAUUUCAAAUAGUUAACACCCCUUUCUGCUUACAUUUCUGUUUCUCUCCCUUUUACAAAGAGAUAAACAUUGUCUUAAUAUUUAUUAUUGUCAUGCCUAUCUUUAUAAUGUUAAUAUAUGUAUCUCUAAACAGUAGUAAAUACGAAGUCUUUUUAAGCUUCCUAUAACAUGAUUUUUUUUAUAACAUUAAAACUUUUGAAACUCAGUGUUACUCUUCUGAGAUUCAUUUGUAUUGAUGUAUAGCCAUAAGGCUCAGAUAGUAAAUAUGUUAGGCUUUGUGGGCAGACAGACUUUGUUGCAACUGCUUAUUCUGCAGUUGUAGUACAACAGCAGCUCUUCUAAAUAUGUAAAUGAAUGGUGCACCCAUGUUCCGAUACAACUUUAUAAAAAUAGAUGGCAGAGAACAGCAUUAGGCCUGUGGGCCAUAGUUUGCUGACCCUAGAUCUGGUAUAAAAUUUAUGAUACUUUAGAUAGCUUGUGUUCCCUGAAGGUUGUUUUAGCUUAUAACCCAGUCCCAACCCCAUCCUUAGCAUAUUUCUCUGCCUUAGGAAGAAAUUUUAGAGACACUGAUUUAGGAAUACAACUGACUGAUUUACUAAAUUUUGAUGUUUAAAAAGCCCCACUGGACUCCAUUUUUCAUUUUUUAUUCUUGAGGGGAAAGCCCAGCAAACUCCUGCCUUUAGACCCCUUUAGAAAUCCUCUCUUGAACUCAUACUGGCUCUUUUCUACAUGCCUUGUCUGCCUAGAAAAUUUCAGUUUAUAUAUCAAGAUUUCCCACGAAUGUCUCUUCCUUCAGGAUACCUUUCCUGAUACCUCCCAGCCAAAGGAAGGCUUUUCCAGUAUUCCCAUACUUAGUUGGUAUCUCUAACACAACUCAGAGCCUUACUUAUUUGUUUGCAUGACUGUCUUCCCCAUUAAAUUUUUAUUCCCUAGGGAAUGAAGACUUAUUCUGUUUAUCUUUGUUUCCAACACAAAACUCAGUGCUUGGAACCUAGAUGUACUUAACAAGUAGUUAUGGAAGGAUGGAAAGGAGGGAGGGAGGAACUAGUAUUCCAGUGUCUACUUGGAACAAGAAGCAAAUUUGCAUAAUAUGCAGGCCUCUGAAAGUGAAGAUACCCCUCUUCAUCUUUCUACCCCAUCUUACCAGAGAGCAUUCCUUCAUGCCUUCUCACCUCCCCUUUGCAGGGAGGCAGAUAAAUCACAUUGUCUUUUAUAAGAUAGUUAUAAUUUUUUCAUAGGAAGCACUUUAUUGUACAUUUCCUUGUGAACUAAAUUCCUAGGUUCUAAGGUGUUGAAUAUCCUCAAAACUACUACUAUUUAUGAAGAAAGACAGGAAAACCAAGGUAAGGAGUUCCCACUGUGUCUCAGCAGGUUAAGGACCCAGCUUUGUCUCUGUGAAGAAGUGAGUUUGAUCCCUGGCCUUGCUCAGUGGGUUAAGGAUUUGUGUUGCCACAAGCUGUGGUGUAGGUCGCAGAUGUGGUUCAGAUUCAGUAUCAUCAUCACUGUGACUGCAUGAAUAAAAAAUACUAUAUAACUGAUCCAUAUCCAUUUACUAAUUUGUAUGUAGAUUUAAUAAAGUUAAAUAGCAUGAUGGAAGGAAAUGGGCUCUAGAAUUAGAAAGACCUGAAUUUGAAUCCAGGUUCUGCUCAUUACCAGCAUUAUGGCAUUGAGCACCUAUUUGAUUUCUCUUAGCUUUGAGUUCUGUAUCUGAAAAGGGUAUAGUAAUACCUCUCAUAGUGCCACAAGAACAAAUUCAGUCAGUCUUAUUACAUCGGCACUCAGUAAUGGUUCAAUCCCCAGCCUGGCGCAAUGGGUUAAGGAUGAGGAGUUGCUGCAGCUGUGGUGUAGAUCACAACUGUGGUGUAGUUUGCAGAUGUGGCUCAGAUUUGAUCCCUGGCUCGAGAAUUUCCAUAUGCUGUGGGUGAGGCCAUACACAAAAUCUGGUUGAAAGUAAAGAGAAGCUAAACUAAAAAGCUUCUUAACUGUUCUGCAGGGCUCCUGACUUAAGGAUAUUGAAAAGAGAUUGGUUGGAAAAGGUAUGGUACCUACACACACGUGUGUGAAUAUGUAUGCAUGUGUGUGACCAUGUGUGUGUAUAUGCUCUGUGCACAUAUGUGGUGUGUGUAUGAAUGCACAUGAAUGUGUAUAUAUGUGCACGUGUGUUUUCUGCUAGAUUUUCAUAGGAGGGGUGAGGAGGCAUAUCUUUCCUCCAAAAUAGCAAAGGUCUUGUGAAAUGCUGUAUGCUUUUAGUUCCAAAAUUCUACUGAAGAUCCCAAGGACUUGGGUAAAUGUUCAGCUUCAGAUGAAUCUUUCUAGGUGGAGGUGAGGCAUAAGGUAUAGAUCCUAGAACUAGUACAUCACUCUUGUGUUAGGGAGUAGUUUAUUUCUAAAGCAGAAUUAGCAUAACACUGUAAACAACAAAAAAAAAGGGGGAUAAAAGUGAAAUUUGAAGGAAGAGACUGGAAGCAAGUCUAGGAACUAAGGUGCUGACUCAAGGGGACCCUUAUUUCUGUUCCUUUGGACCUGUAGCAUCUAGUUCUAUGUUUUAUCCUACAUUGUAAUUCACCCUCUCGUUCCCACAGUUUUUCAAAGCACAGUACCCAUUCUGCAGCUUGAUGUUAAUAGUGUUGUGGGAACAGUGGGCAGGGAAUAAACAGACAAGGCAGUAAACAGAACCGCAGCCUUACCACCUCAGCUCUUCCUGAAGCCAAUGUAACUGGAACAAUAGGGUGUGAAGGUGUAAAGAAGGAGAUUCACAAGGCCACUAGUGGUGAACUAAACCACACCUCAUUAUGGAGGUAGUGGUGAAGAGUUAUGUGACCUCAGAGAAUCUGCUGCAGCUUGGACAGAAGAAGGAGGGCAUGAGAGAUCAACCCCCUGAAGUGAGGCAGGGUGAGAAAGGUAGAGGAGUGCAAGCAUAUACUUGGCUCACAGUGCGGUGUAGGAUCUUUGAUAAAGAAACUGGAAUGACACAUGAAUGAUUGAGAGCUAAUGGAUUUUUUUUUCAUGUGUUGAAAUAUGUGUAUAAUUUUAUUUUACUUCUUUUUAUGUGUAAUUUAUUUAUUUUGGAAUGGGAAUGGUAGUAACCUUCACAUAGUUCAUAAUUCAAAAAGUAUUCAAUUAUACACAGUGAAGACUCCCUCCCAUCUACAUGCUCCAGCCACACAGUUCCUCCUCCAGAGGCAUCAGCAUCAUUAAUUUACUUCCUUUCCUUAGGGAAAUACACAAGCAAAUUUGCAUAAGGCAUCCUCCCCACAAUCUUUUAUUUAUAUAAAUGAUAACUCACUAUUCUGCUUUUCUCACAAAAUUUAUUUUAGAGAUCAUUCCAUACCAGUACGCUUGUGAAUAACUUUAAAAAGUCAAAAUUAAGAGCCAAAAUGCAUUUGCAUUUAACUUCAUGAUAUCAUGAGAUUAUGGGGACAAAUUAAAGCAAAGUACAAAUUUUUAAAAGUGGUAUUAUAAUCAAUAUAUUCCUUGAAAAUUUCAAUUACUUUGAAUUAUUCAUAGAUCCAUGGGGGGAAAUAAUGGUUUAGAAAUGAAUGUGAUUGAAAUUGGUGCAUAUUUUCAGCAACUUUAUGGGAAGUCAGCAAAUAUGCUAAAUGAAUUAUAAUUCUCAAAAAGGUCAAAAAAACUCAAGGAACGUGAAUGUAAUUGAGGCAGGGUCAUAGCCUUGUCAGAUUUUGUAUUCAGUAACUUUAGCAAAGCAACUGUUAAAAUAUUGCUUGAAGGUUUUUACAUGUCCCAUAGUUUUGGAAUCUAAGUAGAAAUAGAAUAGAUGCCCCUGAAUGUGUCCUUUGAAACAGAAAGUCCAGUUUGGCCGAUACUAGAGGUAGUAGUGCUUUACAGAGGGAGUAUGAUUUUAAUCUAUCUUUUCUGGGUCCAGCCUCAAUCCAUAUAUAGUGUUUAAGUUGGUAACUCUGAAUUUGGCAGUCAGUUUAACCAUGAUGUAGCCGUUAAAGUAUUUAGACUACAUGGUCAUUGUAUUUGCUCUUGUGUAUAGACUAGUUUAUUAUUUUCUGUUGAUUUAUUUGCAAGAUUCCCAAAGUGUUUUUUUUUUUUUAUAUCAUUGAAAGGAAAGUAUCUAUGUCUUGAAAAUACUUGGUGAUUUAAAUAAUUCAGAUGUUGUAUUAGUUUGAUGGGGUUGCCAUAACAAAAUACUACAAGCUUGAAUGGCUUAAAUAACAGAAAUUUAUUUUCUCACAGUUUGGAGGAUGGGAGUCCAAGAUCAAGGUAUCCGCAGAUGUGGUUUCUCCUGAGUCUCUCUCCUUGGCCUUCAGAAAGCUGUCUUCUCACUAAGUGUUCACAUGGUCUUCUUUCUCUAUGUGUGCAUCCUGGUGUUUCUUCCUUUUCUUAUGAGGAUAUCAUGUUGGAUUAGGGUCUUACCCUUAUGACCUAUUUAAUCUUAAUUACCUCUUUAAAGGCUUUAUCUCAAAAUAUUGUCACAUUGGGGGUUAGGGCUUCAAUAUAUGAAUUUUGGAGGAGGGGGAUAUAAUUCAUUCUGUGGGAUAAUGCUGCAAUCAUGAACUUGUAAUAGUCUCAUUACCCACUUUCCUUUUAAGAUUACAACUUACUAUUAAUUACAAAUAGCAAAACACCUUAAGUAAAGGAUGCAUUGCUAUUUAAAAAACCUGAAACUAAAUUUUACCUCAGCCAGGUAUGGCCUCAAAUUGCUAAGAGCUGAAUUAAUUAUAACCACAUGUUGGAUAUUAAUCUUAGAAAAUUGAGUUAUCUAAAUUCUUAGUAAGAUCAUUGGCCAAUAGAUAACAAAAAACAACUGCAUAGGAAAAAAAAAAACCUGUGAAUAAGAAUACAAGGAUCUGAUCUUUUUUUACUUUGAAAAAAAAAAAAAACAAAACUAAGAGAGUUGUUUUUUCAGAGUUCCUUUUUUCCUUUUAACAGAUCACAUUAAAUCCUAAAAUAGUCCAAGUACAGAAUUUUGCUUUCUAAGCUAGAGAGUUAAGAUGAAAUGUUUUUCCUUAAAAAACAAAGAACUCAAUCAUUCAUAUCAAUAAUUUCUGAAAAUAUGUAGUGAGAAAAGAGUUUUGUAUGCAUAAUGAAGAUAUAGAAGCUAUAUGUAUGUUGUAUCUUAAGAAUAGCUAUUGGUUUUAGAAAGAGAAGAAAAAAUGUACUGAGACAAAUUGUUUUGAAAGGUAAUUGUUCUGAUUUGGCUUUCCUGAUGUGAUUGCAAGAGAAGAAGCCUGUGGUUGCUUGGUUAGUUUGUAAAGCUGGAAUAGCUCUUGUGUGCUGGCAAGUUUUGGUGUGCUUUUUCUGAGAAAUUUUCCCUAUUUUAAAAAUCCAAACCUUUCAUUAGGGUUUAAAAUAUGAUAUCAUGAUCACAUAAAGUUAGAGACAUAAAAGACUUUUUAAUUUACUUUUCAAAAUCAGUUAGAAAGAGUUACUGUCUGUUCCUUUUCUCCAGUAACUAUAAGCACAUAUAUUAUCCACUGUAAAUGUCUUGAUUUUUGUUGAAAAUCCAGGUAAGAUAUUUUUGUUAUUGCUGCUCAGUGAUCUUUUUGAGAAAAAAAAA